Molecule: unclassified non-coding RNA, 1679 nt
Filed under: Hevea brasiliensis (rubber tree)
Lineage: Eukaryota; Viridiplantae; Streptophyta; Magnoliopsida; Malpighiales; Euphorbiaceae
Source: RNAcentral
UCUUUCGUGGAGGGAAAAAGAAAUGAAUUUGAAGAAUGAUAUAACUGAUGUUUUUCGGCGAUCUUCCACCAUUGCUGAUUCCAGAAUAGCCUGGUUAGAAAAGGAGAUGCAGAAACACAUGCAAGAAAGAAAUAUGAUUGAGGGCAAGCUGGAAGAAGCAUCAAGAGAACCUGGUAGGAAAGAAAUUAUUGCUGAAUUUAAGAAAUUGGUUUCUUCAUUCCCUGAAACCAUGGGCGAUAUGCAGAAUCAGCUAAGUAAUUAUAAGGAGACUGCUUCAGAUGUUCAUUCACUACGAACUGAUGUUCAGUCACUUUCCAGUAUUCUUGACCGGAAGUCAAAAGAGAUAGAAGCAUUGUCUGCCAAGUCAGCUUCCCAGGUGACUGAAAUGCUGAAGUUGCAAGCUGUGGUUAAUGAUUUGAAAGAGAGUGAUAUGCAUUUAAAGCUCAUUUUGGAAAUGUAUACGCGUGAAUCUGCUUUCUCAAGGGAUGUUUUUGAGGCUCGGAGUUCCGAGUACAGAGCUUGGGCACGUGUUCAGAGUCUGAAGACUUCUCUUGAUGAACACAAUUUGGAAGUGAGAGUGAAAUCUGCUAUUGAAGCCGAGGCUGACUCCCAGCAGAAGCUAGGUGCUGCAGAAGCUGAGAUUGCUGAGCUGAGACAGAAGUUAGAUGCUUCUAAAAGGGAACGGUCUAGACUCUCGGAAGUCUUGAAGUCUAAGCAUGAAGAAACCGAGGCCUACCUCUCUGAGAUUGAGACAAUUGGGCAGGCCUACGAUGAUAUGCAAGCUCAAAAUCAGCAGCUUUUCCAGCAAAUCACAGAGAGAGAUGAUUACAAUAUAAAGCUUGUUUUAGAAGGAGUACGGGCAAGACAACAGCGGGAUUGUUUGGCUUGGGAAAGUCAAAUCACAGAGAGAGCAGUUGAAGAUGCCAAUACAAUGGUCAGUUCCUAUGAAAUGAAAGCUGCCAAAAUUGAUGACCAGUUGAGGGGAUGCUCAGACUUGAUCCAGAAGCUUGCUGAAGAUAGGGGUCAGAAUUCUCUUGCUUUAGAGAACACCCAAAAACGGUUUUUAGAUGUAAGAAAAUCUUCCCAGCAAUUGCGGGAGACGCUGGAAGAAUGGCAAUCCAAGAUCGACGAAGUUCGAGUUGAUCUUGCACAGUUGCAGAUAGAACUAGAGAAAGAAAGGUUUGAGAGAAAAAGAGCAGAGGAGGAUGUAGAAGCUCUGAGGAGAAAGACUUCACGUUUGAGAUCACACAUUGAAGGGUCAUCUGUUAUUGAGAAGCUUCAGCAAAAACUAAGGGAAUACAAGGAAAUACUCAAUUGUAGUAUUUGCUUUGAUAGGCGCAAAGAGGUUGUCCUCGCAAAAUGUUACCAUCUCUUUUGUAAUCCGUGUAUCCAAAAAAUUGUGGAGACUCGUCACCGCAAAUGUCCUGUCUGCUCUGCAAGCUUUGGAGCAAAUGAUGUCAAGGCCGUUUAUAUCUGAUCAGAAACAUGAGGAUGUCUAGGCCUUUUAUUAUGUCACUGUUGUGAAGCAAGGUUGUCGUUCACUUAUGGUCUAUGCAUAUAUUUAUGCAGGAAAUAACAUAAAACAGAAAAAAAUUCUGGUGGUUGAAAGUGGAUAGUCUGCAUGGAUUUGCUGGUGCUAGUCCAAAGGUUAAUGAUUUUGUUAAUCUUUUGCUGGUGCG